This is a long non-coding RNA of Neopsephotus bourkii (Bourke's parrot), 303 nucleotides long. RefSeq lists it as uncharacterized. The transcript is spliced from 2 exons. Lineage: Eukaryota; Metazoa; Chordata; Aves; Psittaciformes; Psittacidae. The record is from RefSeq and is a predicted model, not a curated record.
UCUCACUGAAAUUGCCUUCCAAUCCCAUGAAAAAUGCUCCUUGCCUCUGCCUGUUAGCUGAAAGUCAGACGUCUUUCAGCUUCAUUGAAUCAUGAAUUUUGUAAGGAAGACAUUAUAAAAUUCAAUAUUAAGACUACCUGCUGCCUGCUUAUUGGCUCUUUCACCUUUUCCUGCUAUAUACUCACCUGAAACCAACACCUCCACCUUCCCCUACUUUUUAAAAUGACCACACAAAUACAGUCAUUUUGCUUGAAAGGUAUUCUGUUUCCAUAAUGUCAUAAUGUUGGACUCUAGGUGGCAGCA